This 304-nucleotide long non-coding RNA is filed under the name Rosa chinensis. Its description in RNAcentral is "sRNA RchiOBHm_Chr2g0163001". The record is from RNAcentral. Lineage: Eukaryota; Viridiplantae; Streptophyta; Magnoliopsida; Rosales; Rosaceae.
GGUGGCUUUACAUCAACAUCAACAAAACCCAAAGAAGAGAGCAGAGAGAAAAGAGGCAUAGAAGAGGAGAAAGGAGAAGAACUGUGAGCUCUGGAAAUAAGAGAGAAGAAGGAAAAGACCAUCAAGAUCAACAAAAGCGAAAGAAGAGAGCAGAGAGAAAAGAGGAAUAUAAGAGGCGAAAGCAGGAGAUGUGUGAGCUCUGGAAAGAAGAGAGAAGAAAGAAAAGACCGGUUGCAAGAUUAGGUAGCAUUUGAGCUGUUGUCAAUUGUCAAGCUGCUGUUGACAUUCCAAUCAUCUUUCUCAG